AAACUACGAUUAGAUACCCUAUUAUUUUAGAAGUUAAUUUAGUUACUUAAGCAGUAGUAGUUAUAAUCUUUAAACUUAAAGGAUUUGACGGUAAUUUAAACUAGCUAGAGGAACUUGUCCCGUAAUCGAUAGUCCUCGUUAUACUUUACUUAAAUUUGUUUUCAGCUUAUAUACCGCCGUCAUAAAAUUAUAUUUAGAGGUUAUAAUUUUAAUUUAUGAUAAAAAUGUCAGGUCAAGGUGUAGUUUAUAUUUAAGAGGUGAUGAGUUACAUUAAGUUUACUUAAACGGAACAGGUAAAGAAUUUUAUUUUAGAAGGUGGAUUUAGUAGUAAUUUGUUAAAGAAGAGAACUUAUGAAUAUAGCUCUAAAUUAUGUACACAUC
This 381-nucleotide ribosomal RNA is filed under the name Callistina panda. RNAcentral's name for it is "partial 12S ribosomal RNA". The record is from RNAcentral. Lineage: Eukaryota; Metazoa; Arthropoda; Insecta; Ephemeroptera; Caenidae.